Molecule: transfer RNA, 83 nt
Filed under: Jonquetella anthropi DSM 22815
Lineage: Bacteria; Thermotogati; Synergistota; Synergistia; Synergistales; Dethiosulfovibrionaceae
Rfam family: tRNA
About the family: Transfer RNA (tRNA) molecules are approximately 80 nucleotides in length.
Source: Rfam by way of RNAcentral
GCCAGAGUGGCGGAAUGGUAGACGCAGAGGACUCAAAAUCCUCCGCCGGCGACGGUGUGCGGGUUCGAGUCCCGCCUCUGGCA